UCUCGGGUAGUUCAAUGGUAGAACGCUGCACUGUUAAUGCAGAUGUUGCAGGUUCGAAUCCUGCCCCGAGAG
RNAcentral lists this transfer RNA (72 nucleotides) under Patescibacteria group bacterium. RNAcentral describes it as "tRNA-Asn". It matches the Rfam family "tRNA". From Rfam's summary of the family: Transfer RNA (tRNA) molecules are approximately 80 nucleotides in length. Their secondary structure includes four short double-helical elements and three loops (D, anti-codon, and T loops). The record is from RNAcentral.